This 408-nucleotide ribosomal RNA is filed under the name Chelator insignis. Its description in RNAcentral is "partial 16S ribosomal RNA". It matches the Rfam family "Bacterial large subunit ribosomal RNA", at positions 1920 to 2568 of the family's 2925-position model. Lineage: Eukaryota; Metazoa; Arthropoda; Malacostraca; Isopoda; Desmosomatidae. The record is from RNAcentral.
GGUGUAAAUAGCCGCAGUAUCUUGACUGUGCUAAGGUAGCAUGAUAAUUUGUUCUUUAAUUAAGAGCUAGUAUGAAGGAGUUGACGACACCUAAGCUUUUUAAUUAAUUGGUGGAAUUUAAUAUUUGCUUUAAAAAGAGUAAAUAAUUAAGGGGACGAUAAGACCCUGUAAAACUUAGAUUUAUAUUGUUUUAUAGAAUUUAGUGUUAUAUAAAGCUUAAAAAUUAAGCUGGGGCGGCAGUUAAAAUACAUUAAUAAAGAUAACUUGAUUAAUGAUUUUAAGGAUCUCUAAAGAGUUAGAAUAAGUUACUUCAGGGGUAACAGCACAAUUUUUCCAGAUAGCUCGCAUAGAAGGAAAAGACUUGUGACCUCGAUGUUGAAUUGAGGGGUCUUAUUUAAGUAGAAAUAA